RNAcentral lists this unclassified non-coding RNA (145 nucleotides) under soil metagenome. RNAcentral's name for it is "partial internal transcribed spacer 1". The record is from RNAcentral.
UAAUAAGUGUUUUAUGGCACUUUUUAAAUCCAUAUCCACCUUGUGUGCAAUGUCAGUCGAUCUUCUUCAUGGAGAUCGACCAAACAUCAACCUUUAUCUUUUAACUCUUUGUCUGAAAAAUAUUAUGAAUAACCAAUUCAAAAUA